UAGGGAAUCUUCGGCAAUGGACGAAAGUCUGACCGAGCAACGCCGCGUGAGUGAAGAAGGUUUUCGGAUCGUAAAACUCUGUUGUUAGAGAAGAACAAGGACGUUAGUAACUGAACGUCCCCUGACGGUAUCCAACCAGAAAGCCACGGCUAACUACGUGCCAGCAGCCGCGGUAAUACGUAGGUGGCAAGCGUUGUCCGGAUUUAUUGGGCGUAAAGCGAGCGCAGGCGGUUUCUUAAGUCUGAUGUGAAAGCCCCCGGCUCAACCGGGGAGGGUCAUUGGAAACUGGGAGACUUGAGUGCAGAAGAGGAGAGUGGAAUUCCAUGUGUGGCGGUGAAAUGCGUAGAUAUAUGGAGGAACACCAGUGGCGAAGGCGGCUCUCUGGUCUGUAACCGACGCUGAGGCUCGAAAGCGUGGGGAGCAAACAGG
RNAcentral lists this ribosomal RNA (429 nucleotides) under Gemmatimonadota bacterium. RNAcentral describes it as "Gemmatimonadetes bacterium partial 16S ribosomal RNA". It matches the Rfam family "Bacterial small subunit ribosomal RNA", at positions 355 to 776 of the family's 1533-position model. The record is from RNAcentral. Lineage: Bacteria; Pseudomonadati; Gemmatimonadota.